Neolamprologus brichardi is the source of this 459-nucleotide non-coding RNA. The record is from RefSeq and is a predicted model, not a curated record. Lineage: Eukaryota; Metazoa; Chordata; Actinopteri; Cichliformes; Cichlidae.
AACAGCAAGAAGAAGACACACAAAGAAGAAAAAGAAGCAGAAGGAGAACCAUGAGUGUUGGUGUUGGCGGUUAGCUGCAGAAAAGAAGUUCCCUUGAAGUGAGCCACGUGUGGAUGGGACUUGCAUGUAUGUAUGUCUUCAUGUCCAACAACAUAUUGUGAAAUAAAUAUCCUUCCCAAUGAUUAUACCAAUCACUACCCAUCUGACCCAUUCAUAUGUCUGGGGAAGAUUAUACACACGCUUUCAAAUGAGGGUGUUAUCUUAUAUUUUCUUAACUAAAGUGCACCUCUACUGUUAAAUUUAACAGUUUAUUUUAUUACUCCGAUUGUUUUUACAGGGUUUAACUGCUGAAAUGUUUCCCCGAGUUCAGGUGAUGUAUUGAUAUAGAUGCAUAAUGACCUGACUGCUUUGCCUUCAUGUUACUUUCAAUUUGUCAAAUAAAAUCAAAUUGUCAAGAAA